AUUAAAAUGAGCUAUUGGGUGUACUAACAAUUUUUUGGAAUAGUUUUUCCUUUAUUUUUCUUACUUACAUACGUUCACACAGCGCAUGCACACGUUGGUGGACAAAAUUCCAAGCAUUCAGGCAUGUAUAGGAAUUGUUAGAUUUGAUGCAAGUGUGAGCAGUCAAGCAAUCAUGGGGCAUCGAAAACACAUUGCUGAAAGGUAC
This is a non-coding RNA of Pelobates cultripes (western spadefoot toad), 205 nucleotides long. The record is from the annotation of a GenBank genome assembly. NCBI's taxonomy places the organism in Eukaryota, Metazoa, Chordata, Amphibia, Anura, Pelobatidae.